Molecule: ribosomal RNA, 420 nt
Filed under: uncultured bacterium
Lineage: Bacteria
Description: bacterial SSU rRNA
Rfam family: Bacterial small subunit ribosomal RNA
Source: RNAcentral
GAGGAAUAUUGGUCAAUGGACGCAAGUCUGAACCAGCCAUGCCGCGUGCAGGAAGACGGCUCUAUGAGUUGUAAACUGCUUUUGUACGAGGGUAAACGCUCUUACGUGUAAGAGCCUGAGAGUAUCGUACGAAUAAGGAUCGGCUAACUCCGUGCCAGCAGCCGCGGUAAUACGGAGGAUCCAAGCGUUAUCCGGAUUUAUUGGGUUUAAAGGGUGCGUAGGCGGUUUGAUAAGUUAGAGGUGAAAUACCGGUGCUUAACACCGGAACUGCCUCUAAUACUGUUGAACUAGAGAGUAGUUGCGGUAGGCGGAAUGUAUGGUGUAGCGGUGAAAUGCUUAGAGAUCAUACAGAACACCGAUUGCGAAGGCAGCUUACCAAACUAUAUCUGACGUUGAGGCACGAAAGCGUGGGGAGCAAAC